RNAcentral lists this ribosomal RNA (429 nucleotides) under Actinomycetes bacterium. Its description in RNAcentral is "Actinobacteria bacterium partial 16S ribosomal RNA". It matches the Rfam family "Bacterial small subunit ribosomal RNA", at positions 355 to 776 of the family's 1533-position model. The record is from RNAcentral. Lineage: Bacteria; Bacillati; Actinomycetota; Actinomycetes.
UAGGGAAUCUUCCGCAAUGGGCGAAAGCCUGACGGAGCAACGCCGCGUGAGUGAUGAAGGUCUUCGGAUCGUAAAACUCUGUUAUUAGGGAAGAACAAAUGUGUAAGUAACUAUGCACGUCUUGACGGUACCUAAUCAGAAAGCCACGGCUAACUACGUGCCAGCAGCCGCGGUAAUACGUAGGUGGCAAGCGUUAUCCGGAAUUAUUGGGCGUAAAACGCGCGUAGGCGGUUUUUUAAGUCUGAUGUGAAAGCCCACGGCUCAACCGUGGAGGGUCAUUGGAAACUGGAAAACUUGAGUGCAGAAGAGGAAAGUGGAAUUCCAUGUGUAGCGGUGAAAUGCGCAGAGAUAUGGAGGAACACCAGUGGCGAAGGCGACUUUCUGGUCUGUAACUGACGCUGAUGUGCGAAAGCGUGGGGAUCAAACAGG